Non-coding RNA from Triticum aestivum (bread wheat), 135 nucleotides. NCBI's taxonomy places the organism in Eukaryota, Viridiplantae, Streptophyta, Magnoliopsida, Poales, Poaceae. The record is from Rfam.
AAAUUACUUCCUCCGUCCUAAAAUUCUUGUCUUAAAUUUGUUUAAAUAUGAAUGUAUCAAGUCACAUUUUAGUAUUAGAUACAUCCGUAUCUACACAAAUAUAAGACAAGAAUUUUGGCACGGAGGAAGUACAUG